AUAUAAAAUGCAUCUAGAAACGACCGAUCUAAUUAUUUUUCUUUACCGACAGAAAUAUAGCUAGUAUAGUACUAUUUGUUUUGUUCAUUUUUCAAAAAUAAAUGCUGCUGAAAAUGUAAAAUAAUAAGACUUCGAACUUCUGAUCUCGAAUACCUACCAUUAAAUCUUUUGCUACAUGCACUCGAGAUGGGUGAUUUUUUUAUUUUUUUGUUUUUCAAUUGUGAUA
This 226-nucleotide long non-coding RNA is filed under the name Ananas comosus (pineapple). RNAcentral describes it as "long non-coding RNA (ACOM_LNC011044)". The record is from RNAcentral. Lineage: Eukaryota; Viridiplantae; Streptophyta; Magnoliopsida; Poales; Bromeliaceae.